UUUAAAUAUAGCAAAUGGCAAUAACUAUUAUCAAUUGGUAAAAAGUCCAUGUAAAUAGUGAAAACAAUUAUUUGUACUAGUAUUGACGCAGACAGUAUCAAAUUUGUGUCACACAUAUUAAAAAUAUAGAUAGGACAAGAAUAGGUCAAUUUUGGUUUAGGUCGCCCCGAUAGGACAAGAAUAGGUCAAUGGCGGUUAAGGUCGCCUUGAUAGGACAGGAAUAGGUCAAUUAUGGUUUAGGUCACCCCGAUAGGACAAUAAUAGGUCAAUAAUGGUUUAGGUUGCCCUGAUAGGACAAGAAUAGGUAAAUUAUGGUUUAGGUCACUCCGAUAGGACAAGAAAAGGUCAAUUAUGGUUGAGGUCGCCUUGAUAGGACAAGAAUAUGUCAAUUCUGGUUAAGGUCGCCCCAAAAAGACAAGAAUAGGUCAAUUAUGCGUUAGGUAACCCCGAUAGGACAAGAAUAGGUCAAUUAUGGUUUAGGUCGCCCCGAUAGGACAAGAAUAGGUCAUUUGUGGUUAAGGUCGCCCUGAUAGGACGAGAAUAGGUCAAUUAUGGUUAAGGUCAACCCGAUAGAACAAGAAUAGGUCAAUUAUGGUUUAGGUCACCCCGAUAGGACAAGAAUAGGUCAAUUAUGCUUUAGGUUACCCUGAUUGGAAAAGAAUAUGUCAAUUAUGAUUUAGGUCACUCCGAUAGGACAAGAAUAGGUCAAUUAUGGUUUAGGUUUCCCUGAUAGGACAAGAAUACGUCAAUUCUGGUUUAGGUCGCCCCGAUAGGACAAGAAUAGGUCAAUUAUGAUUUAGGUUGCCUUGAAAAGGACAAGAAUAGGUCAAUAAUGAUUUAGGUCGCCCCGAUAGGACAAUACUAGGUCAAUGCCGGUUUAGGUCGCAGUGGCAUAGUGAGUAUGGUGUCUGGCUAGUGAAAGGAAUGUCACGGUUUGACUCCAAGUGUGGAGGUAUUCUUUAGCUCUCCAACAAAGAUACCAAGUACUGAUUCUACCCAGGAAUCUUGGGUACAUUAAAAUAAGCCUAAGGCUCUCAAUGUUCGAUGCAAUUGAGCUUAAAUAAAUAUGUUUAAACUUAUGUUGGUCCACAGUUUAUUGUAUAUUCCCUAGGUAUUUAUUUUUUAUUUUCCACCUGUUUGUUUUGAAUUCCCCAGAUGUUUAUUUUCUAUUCCCCAUGGGUUUGUUUUCUAUUCCCCAGAUGUUUAUUUUCUAUUCCCCACAUGCCCAUUUUCUAUUCCCCAUGGCUGCAUUGGGAGGCCACGCCUACAUCUGCCAGACCCUAAUGAAAUACGGUGUCGACCCAAAUAUCAAGGACUCCUCAGGUCGAACUCCAAUACAGUGUGCGGCCUACGGGGGUUACGUCAAAAGUAUGUCUGUACUCCUUGAGCACGAGGCAGACCCUAACGCCAAUGACUGUGAGGGAAUGACUGCUUUUCACUGGGCAUGCAGUGAAGGUCACCUUGAUGCUGUGAAGCUACUGAUAGAAUACAGGAACAAACAUACAAAAGAAGAACAUAAUUGAGUCAAUGUUUUAACUCAUUUUUUCUCAAAUUUAAGAUAAGAAUAGUUACACCAUCGUUCUCAAUUUGGUCUGACUUAACCCUCAGUUUGGGGAGGAUAAUGUGCAUACUCUUAUAACGAAGAUUUGAUAUUGUUCGGGAGCUGAUAGACAUACUCAAUAUUUCAGCUCCUACAAAAAUUACCUGACCAAAUUAGCUUAGAGCGGCCCAUUGUGUAUUUUCCAUACACCCAAAGUAAUUUCCAUACACCCAGAAUAAUCGAAUAGUCGGUUCAGAUAUAAUGGUUACACAAUAGUAACUGAUGGUGUAUGGGAUGUCUUGAAAUAACGUAUUUGUAAUAAAUUAGAUUUUUAAGUCUCUAAUAUAGAUAAUUUCAUAUUAUUUUUUUACAUACAUAUUAAUAUUUAACAUUUAAAAGUAUUGUACCAGCAACUUCAAUCAUUAAUGAGCACCACGUGGUUUAAGUAGUUAACAAUAUAAAAAUAAGUAUUUAAGCCUUAACAUGUUCUAUAUUUAUGUUAACUUUUAACACCAUCUGAAUUUAUUAUUCAUGAAGAAAAUCUUUUUUUGUAACAUAGGGAGUUGGACUAUUUAUGAAUUUAAGUUACAAGACUAAAUUGUUUACUAAAUUCAAUAUGCAAACAAGGCAGACCCUGUUCAGAUUUGUCUGAUCUGGGUCAUCUCUGAUUGCUGUGUGAAAAUGCAGGAUUAUCAGAAAGCGCUAUGAUGAUAUAUUUCUGCCUUAAUCAGUGUCUUAACUUGUGUCCACUCAUUUUUGUGUGUGUGCCUUUUAGUUUAUUAUUAAUGGACAGGUCAUUGUAAGCCCCACAUAAAUUAAAUCAUACUUGUGAGCUUUCGUUACCAAAACAUAUUUUGCCAGAUGAAAAUUGACCAGACAUUGUCAGACCUUCAGCAGUUGAUUAGCACUCCAGGCUGCCAUGAGAUGAAGUUGGCUCAGUCACAGGUCAUCACAGAUGCUGGUUUUAAGGAGCACACCAUCGCCAUGUGCCCCAAGACUGAUAUAGCUAGUGCUAAAGAGAAAUUCAUUACUGCACUAUCAACUAUAUAGAGAAAAGGUUUCCAUAUAAAGAUAUGUUGUCAUCAUUUGGGGCUCUCUUAAUGAGGUUAAUUACACUGCUGUGUGAUGCUGGCCUGAAGACAUGGGGAGACGAAAAGAUUGAUACUCUUGUCCAUCACUUUCUUGAGGAAAACUUGAAAACCCAGAGGCCACGAAAAAGGAGUGGAAUGAAGUUAAGACACUGGUGAAAGCAGAAAUGUAUUCUGUAGAUUCUCUUUUUACACUUUGGCAUCUAAUAAAAAAGUUUCACAGUGAACAACAUCCUAACUUGUUGAAGAUGGCAAGUCUUGCAAUCCUUUGUCCAGUAAACACGACAGGCUGUGAACGGGGUCUUUCGGUACAAAAUCAAAUUCUAACAGGGCUUAAUCCUGACGACCAGGACAU
This is a long non-coding RNA of Dreissena polymorpha, 2983 nucleotides long. RefSeq lists it as uncharacterized. NCBI's taxonomy places the organism in Eukaryota, Metazoa, Mollusca, Bivalvia, Myida, Dreissenidae. The record is from RefSeq and is a predicted model, not a curated record. The transcript is spliced from 4 exons.